This 135-nucleotide microRNA precursor is filed under the name Podarcis lilfordi (Lilford's wall lizard). Lineage: Eukaryota; Metazoa; Chordata; Lepidosauria; Squamata; Lacertidae. The record is from RNAcentral.
CACAGAGUCUGCGCAUUUCCUGUUCACAGGAAGUUUAUGUUUUCUAUUGCCCCAUUUCUCUCUCUGUGUCUGGAGACAAACAAAAGCAAUAGAAAACAUAAACUUCCUGUGAACAGGAAAUGCGCAGACUCUGUG